UGCGUUUCUCCGGUGUUGAGUUUCUUCACCAGAUGAUGCUGUGGCGGCGCGCAGCAGCACACAGCAGCCUUUGCGUGAGAUGAAGUGACGCACAGCAGCGGCAGAGAUGAUCCGCACCGCUGGAUCUGAGCGUCCGUCCACGGUGGAAUCAUGAGGUCCGCAGUAGUAGCAGCAAAUACCGAGUGAGGCUGAAAUGACGGGACCGCUACGUUGUUUCCAAGCGCAUUCCGCAGCAUCUGGUUCUCGGUGAGGAAGCGGCGCGUCGUCGUCAGGAAACCUUCCUGGACAUGGACGGAGGGACUGCGGAACCGGGGGAUGACGGGAGCGAGGCAGCGGCCGCCGGCCUCUGUCUGCAGCUAGACUUCGGGGACACCGAUUCAGCCAGGAAGGCUCAAAUAGCAGAGAUGCCGUCCCCAUUUGGAGCAGGCCAAGCUCAUGAGAAGAAGAUUGGUCACAGGAGGGUCGAUGCCUCUGGAGAAACAACAUAUAAGAAGACCACCUCCUCUGCCUUGAAAGGGGCUAUCCAGUUGGGUAUUGGAUACACUGUCGGUAAUCUCAGCUCCAAGCCUGAGAGAGAUGUUCUCAUGCAGGAUUUCUACGUGGUUGAAAGCAUCUUCUUCCCCAGUGAAGGCAGCAACCUCACACCAGCCCACCACUUCCCAGACUUCAGGUUUAAAACCUACGCCCCUGUGGCCUUUCGCUACUUCAGAGAGCUGUUUGGGAUCCGACCAGAUGACUACCUGUAUUCUCUAUGUAAUGAGCCACUGAUUGAAUUGACGAAUCCAGGAGCGAGUGGAUCCAUAUUCUACGUAACCCGUGAUGAUGAGUUCAUCAUCAAAACUGUCCAACACAAGGAAGCUGAGUUUCUACAGAAAUUGCUCCCUGGAUACUACAUGAAUUUGAACCAGAACCCCCGGACUUUGCUGCCCAAAUUCUUUGGCCUCUAUUGCGUCCAGUGUGGCGGCAAGAACAUCAGAAUUGUUGUAAUGAACAAUAUCUUACCGCGCUCUGUUCGCAUGCACCUUAAGUUCGACUUGAAGGGCUCCACAUACAAGAGACGAGCGUCCAAGAAGGAAAGGGAGAAGUCCAAACCCACUUUUAAAGACCUGGACUUUCUGAAUGAUGUCCCUGAAGGCCUCACUCUGGACCAGGACACGUUCAGUGCUUUGGUCAAAACCCUACAAAGAGACUGUCUGGUUCUGGAGAGUUUUAAGAUCAUGGACUACAGCUUACUGCUUGGAAUCCACAACAAGACCCAAGCAGAGAGAGAGCAGCAGUCACAGGGUUCACCUGCAGGAGGUGGAGAUGAAAAGAAGCCUGCAGGGCAGAGAGCCUUGUACACCACCGCCAUGGAGUCCAUACAGGGAGGCUCCACAUGCAGGGACACGCUGGACCACGACGACACUAUGGGCGGUAUUCCAGCUGUAGGAAGUAAAGGAGAGCGCCUCCUGCUGUUCAUUGGAAUCAUUGACAUUCUGCAGUCCUACAGACUGAUUAAGAAAUUGGAGCACUCUUGGAAAUCUCUCAUCCAUGAUGGGGACACAGUGUCGGUUCAUAGACCGAGUUUCUAUGCUGAGAGGUUCUACAAGUUCUGCAGCACAAUUGUCUUCAGGAAGAGCAACUCACUGCGAUCGUCUCCGUCUAAGAGAGGACGAGGGGUGCUCUUGUCCAAGUCCAGUGCUGGAGCCAGCUCAACUGGGCAUCGUCCUUCACUCACUGAAGAUAGGCAAGAAGACCUGGACAACUUGGAGAACCUAAGAGGAGCUCGCAGCUUCCCCAUGCUCGAGGACAAUGGGAGGGAGCCACCCUGCACGCCUCCUUCAUUUGAAGAUGCUACCACAGCAUCCAUUGCUACCACUCUAUCCUCCAACAACUCCCUACCGACCACCCCAUUCGAUACGCCGGAGCACCCACGCUACAGGAGACAAAUGCAUUCCCCAAGCAUGGCCAGGUCACAAAAAGAGGUAGUUGAGAUUCACGGUGAAAGACAGGACACCAUCACAGUGGAGGUGGAGCUCAGUAAAAUCCCAAAGAGCACAGAGCUCACACAAAUGACAGAAAAAACAUCCCCCAGCCAUCUAUCACCUGAUCACCUGCCUCGAAUCAACACUUCAUCCACUCCUGCCUCUCUCAGUCCAUCCUCUGCAUAUUCCUCCGCUACCCUUCCUCCUUCCUUUGCGUCCUCCACCGCUCAGCCUACUGGCCAGUCCUCCUCCAACACACUUUCUUCAUCCAUCCGUCCAUCCACCAAGCCGCUCACCUCUCCUACAGCAGCUCAGUCUUCCACUCUUUCUUCUCCGGUCUCUCAUCCAGCUCCACCCUCCACACGUCCCACUUCAACUCCAAGCAGCUCCACCCUCCCUCCCGCCUCCGCAUUCACUCCUAUCUGCCCGGCAUCUCCUCACUCCUCCACCCAGAGCUCCUCGCACCAUCUCCCCUCGACGCCCCCUGCCUCGGUCCCUCCGAGCCCUCAGGUGCCUCAGCAGGCGGCCCAAACGUCGUGCAAUCAGCUGUCUGUGUCCAGCAGCCACAACUCAUUGGACGGGGAGGUGCAGGUUUCCGACAUAUACUUUUGGCCCAGUCAGGACAGCGUGGUAGAGUUAUGAUGCAGCCUCAGGAGGAUCGGAGCUGGGUGUACUCUCCUCUACACUGCAGCUCGGAGUCCAGAAGGGGCUCGGAUGGGGAGAGUGAGACAUAACUGACAGUGGAGACAGCAGUGAAGGGUGGAGCCAGAGGCUGUCUCCAUGUACAAUGUCGACAGGUUUUAAUUCUAAAGCCACCAGGACACGAUGAAGAUCUAAUCGCUGGUUACCCACGCUGCAUGUGGGAGCUUGCUUUGCCAACUGCAACAAAAACUAUAUGAAUGAACUUUGGGAGGAAGCAUUCAAGUAUAAAAGUGUUAAACAAUGCAUCCAGCAAACAUACUGACACGUUAUCAAACUGUUGUACAAAACAAUUACCAAGCAACAGUUCAGGACAGUCUGACUGACAUCAGGUGGAAAAGCUAAAGUGGUACAAUCCUCUGCGUGGCACUGUGAAUCUUUAUGGCGUUUCUUCAUAACAAGCCUGGCAUGGCGAUGACAUCAUCAGUACAAACUAAUACCUCACACAUAAACCUUGAUUAAACUCACACAGCUAAUCACAAAACAAAGUUUUAAAUUCUAGUGCCGAGUCCGAAGUUUCAGAACAUAGCAAACAUGCGUCCAUUUAUUUUCUGCAACUUUGUUUCAGAGUUGGGUUGCCAUGGCAGCAGGCUAAGCUAGGUUGUCCAGACAUUCCUCUCCCCAGCUCAGGCUAUGCAAUUUGGACUUUUAAAUUACGAUUUUUUUUUUUAUUCUUGACUCAACUUGAGUGAACUACUCACAUAUUUAUUUUCCACUAGGGGCAUGUCAGAGCUGUGUGUACUUUUAUUUUAGGACUUUAUAAAUGUACAUGUGGCAGAAGUCUUUGAAACUGUGUAUGUUUUGUUAUUUUGUCAUCAGUUGUUGGUUGAAAACACACUCGAACACAGUUAAUGUUUUGUGUGCUGUGUAUACACGGUGUUCUGUUUCUUCCAGUGGUGUGUGGUGGUCCACUUUACGAUUUUCGAUCUGACAAUGAACGCUUGUGUUCAAAUUGCCUUACUGACAGACUCAUUAUUGUAACCAUUUUUGAUAUUUUCUGGUCACAUGUAAUCAUUUUGCAAAAGACAAACAAAAAAAUGCUGAGAAAUACAAACAUGCAAAAUAUUUUAUUGUGAGUAAACACCAAAUAUCUGAAGUUAAAACAGUAUAUAUAUAUAUAUAUAUAUAUAUAUAUAUAGUACUAAUGCAUUUAUAACUUUAAAGAAUUUAGGACGAGAAGAUCAAGAGGGAGUAAAGGAAAAAAUGAAUGAAAUUAUCUUUUGUAAAUUGUCGAUAAACUGUGUAUGUGCUACAGCACAUGCAUGUCAGUCUGUGCGUGCCCUUAUGUCUCUGUGUGUGCAUGUGUUUGCAUGCAUUUGACAUGGGAUUGAGGGACAUAUGAGUCUGAGAUUUUCUUUGACUUAUAUCCCUUCUGCCUAUUUGUCAGAUUGUCAAAAGGUGUUGUUAUAGGCCAUGAAAGUUUGAACCAGCUAUAAGCAUGUUGGCUGUGUGAGAAAAACGAAAUGCAGGUGUCCCAGUCUUUAAUGACACUGGAUUAAUCAUAAAAUAACAAAUGAGCAGACCUAAACUUAAACAUCCUCAGUUUUAUAAACAGUUUACAAAAAAAAGAAAGGCAGACAGUACCUUCCUUUUUCCAUGUAUGGUGAUAGAGGAUUUACCAUACUAAGACUUCCUGACUGUGUCCAAAACCACCACUGUACCAUAUUACUGUAUUGUUUGAGUCUGCUGAAGUUAACCUGCCUGUUUGUAGGCAACAGUGUUUGUAGCUGAUCACUGUGUAAAAGAUAAUAAAAAUUAUAUUGUAUAAAAAAUA
RNA transcript from Acanthochromis polyacanthus (spiny chromis), 4437 nucleotides. It is a transcript of the gene named phosphatidylinositol 4-phosphate 5-kinase type-1 gamma-like, with no coding region annotated. The transcript has 18 exons. The record is from RefSeq and is a predicted model, not a curated record. Lineage: Eukaryota; Metazoa; Chordata; Actinopteri; Pomacentridae.